GCCGCUUCGGGAGAGCGGGCAGUUCUAGGAGGCCGACCUGGAGAGCCUCCCGGUUCCCCUUCCCCUUUUCCCGGACCCCGCGGGGACACCCCCUCGCCGCCACCCGGGCCUCCCCGAGGGCCCAACUGCGGGUCAGGCGGCCCGGGCCAGCCGAAAGGGAAGUGGGGCUACCCCACAGCCAGGCAGCGGGGCUGGGGUCAGACCCGGGAGCCGGAGGUUGGAGACGUGCGACAGUCACCUGCGGGCAGAUUCCAGAGGGGAGACCCAGGGCUGCAGGGGACGCCCCUUCGUGGCAGCUACCCAGCCUCGGCCCACUGCCAGUGUUACGUGGCUGCAUGACCAUACACUUCUGGGUAGAGCCCAGUGGAAGACAAAGAAGACUCAAGGAAUAGCCCUUGAGGGCUCAGGAGCUAUACAGAUGGGAUAGAGGGUGUGAGUGCUGGGAAGCCCCAUCCAUGGCUCGCUGGAGAUUAGAGGCCUGUUAAUCUGAAGACAAAGGAAUGAAGACGAAAACGUUUCUGAAAAUGUGGGUGGAGACACCUGGGCCUUUACAGGGUACGCUCCAGAGCUGCUUCCAGGCAGGGACCCCGGCUGAGAGAAGCCAGAGCCAGAGAGUCGCAGGCUUGCUUGCUCUUAUCUUCCCUCUGCUGGGGGGGUCGAGGGGAGAUCUGGCCCCUCUGCUCUGCCCUCCUGAUUUCCCGUCUAAGGGAUUUAGGAGACUUUUGCCUUUUCCUAAUCUCUCCCUUUGCAGAAUUUCUGCGAAGUCACAAUCCCAUUUCCAGGCAAAGGUGCUUGGUCAUAAAGAUAAU
This 809-nucleotide long non-coding RNA is filed under the name Homo sapiens (human). RNAcentral's name for it is "PREDICTED lncRNA (TCONS_00113276)". The record is from RNAcentral. Lineage: Eukaryota; Metazoa; Chordata; Mammalia; Primates; Hominidae.